CCUACGGGAGGCAGCAGUGAGGAAUAUUGGUCAAUGGGCGCGAGCCUGAACCAGCCAAGUAGCGUGAAGGAUGACUGCCCUACGGGUUGUAAACUUCUUUUAUAAAGGAAUAAAGUGAGGCACGUGUGCCUUUUUGUAUGUACGUUAUGAAUAAGGAUCGGCUAACUCCGUGCCAGCAGCCGCGGUAAUACGGAGGAUCCGAGCGUUAUCCGGAUUUAUUGGGUUUAAAGGGAGCGUAGAUGGGUUGUUAAGUCAGUUGUGAAAGUUUGCGGCUCAACCGUAAAAUUGCACUUGCUACUGGCAGCCUUGAGUCCAGUUGCGGUAGGCGGACUUCGUGGUGUAGCGGUGCAAUGCUUAGAUCUCAC
This 365-nucleotide ribosomal RNA is filed under the name uncultured bacterium. Its description in RNAcentral is "partial 16S ribosomal RNA". It matches the Rfam family "Bacterial small subunit ribosomal RNA", at positions 338 to 700 of the family's 1533-position model. The record is from RNAcentral.